RNAcentral lists this ribosomal RNA (458 nucleotides) under uncultured bacterium. Its description in RNAcentral is "partial 16S ribosomal RNA". It matches the Rfam family "Bacterial small subunit ribosomal RNA", at positions 338 to 795 of the family's 1533-position model. The record is from RNAcentral.
CCUACGGGAGGCAGCAGUGAGGAAUAUUGGUCAAUGGGCGAGAGCCUGAACCAGCCAAGUCGCGUGAGGGAGUACUGCCCUAUGGGUUGUAAACCUCUUUUGUCGGGGAGCAAAAGCCGGACGUGUCCGGCUGUGAGAGUACCCGAAGAAAAAGCAUCGGCGAACUCCGUGCCAGCAGCCGCGGUAAUACGGAGGAUGCGAGCGUUUUCCGGAUUUUUUGGGUUUAAAGGGUGCGCUGGCGGAUUUUUAAGUCAGCGGUAAAAUUGUGGGCCUCAACCCCAUCCAGCCGUUGAAACUGGGGAUCUAGAGUGUGCGAGAGGUAUGCGGAAUGCGUGGUGUAGCGGUGAAAUGCAUAGAUAUCACGCAGAACCCCGAUUGCGAAGGCAGCAUACCGGUGCACAACUGACGCUCAGGCACGAAAGCGUGGGUAUCGAACAGGAUUAGAUACCCUAGUAGUC